CAUGUAGGCGUUCCGGUAAGUCGAAGGUGAAAUCCCAUAGCUCAACUAUGGAACUGCCUUCGAAACUCCCGGGAUUGAGUACGAAAGGGGAGAAUGGAAUUCCCGGUGUAAGGGUGAAAUCUGUAGAUAUCGGGAGGAACACCUGUGGCGAAGGCGAUUCUCUGGUUCGAUACUGACGCUGAAAUGCGAAAGCUAGGGGAGCAAACA
RNAcentral lists this ribosomal RNA (207 nucleotides) under uncultured bacterium. RNAcentral's name for it is "partial 16S ribosomal RNA". It matches the Rfam family "Bacterial small subunit ribosomal RNA", at positions 568 to 774 of the family's 1533-position model. The record is from RNAcentral.